GCCAGGCACGGUGGUGCAUGCCUGUAAUCCCAGCAGCUUGGGAGGCUAAGACAGGAGGGUCACAAGUUCAAAGCCAGCCUCAGCAAUGAUGAAGCACUAAGCAACUUGGUGAGGCACUAAGCAACUCAGUGACACCCUGCAUGUA
RNAcentral lists this small RNA (145 nucleotides) under Marmota monax (woodchuck). The record is from RNAcentral. Lineage: Eukaryota; Metazoa; Chordata; Mammalia; Rodentia; Sciuridae.